GGGGAAUAUUGCACAAUGGGCGCAAGCCUGAUGCAGCCAUGCCGCGUGUGUGAAGAAGGCCUUCGGGUUGUAAAGCACUUUCAGUCGUGAGGAAGGUAGUGUAGUUAAUAGCUGCAUUAUUUGACGUUAGCGACAGAAGAAGCACCGGCUAACUCCGUGCCAGCAGCCGCGGUAAUACGGAGGGUGCGAGCGUUAAUCGGAAUUACUGGGCGUAAAGCGCAUGCAGGUGGUUUGUUAAGUCAGAUGUGAAAGCCCGGGGCUCAACCUCGGAAUUGCAUUUGAAACUGGCAGACUAGAGUACUGUAGAGGGGGGUAGAAUUUCAGGUGUAGCGGUGAAAUGCGUAGAGAUCUGAAGGAAUACCGGUGGCGAAGGCGGCCCCCUGGACAGAUACUGACACUCAGAUGCGAAAGCGUGGGGAGCAAACAGGAUUAGAUACCCUGGUAGUCCACGCCGUAAACGAUGUCUACUUGGAGGUUGUGGCCUUGAGCCGUGGCUUUCGGAGCUAACGCGUUAAGUAGACCGCCUGGGGAGUACGGUCGCAAGAUUAAAACUCAAAUGAAUUGACGGGGGCCCGCACAAGCGGUGGAGCAUGUGGUUUAAUUCGAUGCAACGCGAAGAACCUUACCUACUCUUGACAUCCAGAGAACUUUCCAGAGAUGGAUUGGUGCCUUCGGGAACUCUGAGACAGGUGCUGCAUGGCUGUCGUCAGCUCGUGUUGUGAAAUGUUGGGUUAAGUCCCGCAACGAGCGCAACCCUUAUCCUUGUUUGCCAGCGAGUAAUGUCGGGAACUCCAGGGAGACUGCCGGUGAUAAACCGGAGGAAGGUGGGGACGACGUCAAGUCAUCAUGGCCCUUACGAGUAGGGCUACACACGUGCUACAAUGGCGCAUACAGAGGGCGGCCAACUUGCGAAAGUGAGCGAAUCCCAAAAAGUGCGUCGUAGUCCGGAUUGGAGUCUGCAACUCGA
This 967-nucleotide ribosomal RNA is filed under the name Vibrio parahaemolyticus. Its description in RNAcentral is "bacterial SSU rRNA". It matches the Rfam family "Bacterial small subunit ribosomal RNA", at positions 356 to 1315 of the family's 1533-position model. Lineage: Bacteria; Pseudomonadati; Pseudomonadota; Gammaproteobacteria; Vibrionales; Vibrionaceae. The record is from RNAcentral.